UAAAAAUGCACUAUUCAAUGGGGAUUAUAUCGUCUCUGAAGCAAGAGAAAGGGCUUUGAAUUUGCAUAUCACUGAUGACUUGCUUAAGCUCAGAUGUUUCCUCUUUAAGCUGAGCAUUCUCUUGAAGAACUUUCUCGUGAGAUUCAUGCUUAAGCUCAGAUGUUUCCUCUUUAAGCUGAGCAUUCUCUUGAAGAACUUUCUCGUGCGAUUCAGAGAGAUUGUUAAGCUUAUCAAGCAACUGAUGAUUCUCGAUCCUCAACCACAUCACC
RNAcentral lists this long non-coding RNA (269 nucleotides) under Brassica napus (rape). RNAcentral's name for it is "long non-coding RNA (BNAP_LNC005488)". Lineage: Eukaryota; Viridiplantae; Streptophyta; Magnoliopsida; Brassicales; Brassicaceae. The record is from RNAcentral.